CCCUUAGAUGUCCGGGGCCGCACGCGCGCUACACUGAAGGAAUCAGCGUGGCUUUCUCCCUGACCCGAAAGGGUUGGGAAGCCCGUUGAAUCUCCUUCGUGAUAGGGAUUGGGGCUUGAAAUUGUUCCCCAUGAACGAGGAAUUCCCAGUAAGCGCGAGUCAUAAGCUCGCGUUGAUUACGUCCCUGCCCUUUGUACACACCGCCCGUCGCUACUACCGAUUGAACGGUUUAGUGAGGGCCUCGGAUUGGUCUCGGCCCGCUCUUCACCGGGCGGCGCCGUUGGUCGAGAAGACGCUCGAACUUGAUCGUUUAGAGGAAGUAAAAGUCGUAACA
Molecule: ribosomal RNA, 334 nt
Filed under: uncultured eukaryote
Lineage: Eukaryota
Description: partial 18S ribosomal RNA
Rfam family: Eukaryotic small subunit ribosomal RNA
Source: RNAcentral